UACGUAGGAUGCAAGCGUUGUCCGGAAUUAUUGGGCGUAAAGAGCGCGCAGGCGGUCUAUCAAGUCAGAUGUGAAAUAUCCCGGCUUAACCGGGGGGGGUCAUUUGAAACUGGUAGACUAGAGUACAGCAGAGGAUAGUGGAAUUCCCGGUGUAGUGGUGAAAUGCGUAGAUAUCGGGAGGAACACCAGUGGCGAAGGCGACUAUCUGGGCUGAAACUGACGCUGAGGCGCGAAGGCUAGGGGAGCAAACAGG
Molecule: ribosomal RNA, 253 nt
Filed under: uncultured bacterium
Lineage: Bacteria
Description: partial 16S ribosomal RNA
Rfam family: Bacterial small subunit ribosomal RNA
Source: RNAcentral